AUUAUAUUGACUUCAUAUUUGACAAGUGUAGUAUUUGAUCAUUUAAACAAUCCUGUGAGAUAUUUUUACAAUGAACUAUGCAUUAAAUGUCAACAUUUUAUUUAUCAUAAUGGGAAGUCUCCCACUGAAGAUUUCUGUGGCUAUGUUAUCUAACAAUAAACAUAAGAAGAGUACCAAUCCUAAAUGAAUUUUUGACCUAGCUUUAACAAAAUAACAUUUAGCUGAGAGAUUCUUCAUUAUGCAAAGAAACAAUGUUUUGGCAAUAAAUUAAAAUCUAUAUAUGAGGAAGAAAUUUAGAGAAUUAUUAUUGUAUUUUUCCAAAAGCCAGCAAGUAUUAUCUUAACAUAAAACAAGUUACUCAGUAAUCUUGUACACUAGUAUUUAUACUGUGCUAUUGAAAUUAGAUAUUUAUUCUGAAUUAGAAUGAAAAUAAAGAUUGGUUCGUUUUAUAUUAUCCAUUUUAGGAAGGACUUUUCUCCUAGUGGUGAUAGUAUUCAAUGUCAGAAACUGAUAUCAUCUAUAGAUUAACAAUGCAUUGCAUUUAACAUUUUUUGUUGUAUUGAUUUAAUAGAUAAUCAUGUAUUUUCAUAAAGUUACAUUUUGUGUCACUCAGUUUCUUUAUAACUGUGCCAUGUAUGUUAUAUAGUUAGUGAACAAUACAUGUUUGACAUUAAACCAAGGAAGAACCUGAGAAUUUACUCUUAAAUUUUUUAGUGCUAUUGUAUUAUUUUACAAUUAUCAUGAAUUGCUUUCCAAGUUUUGUUUGUUAAAGUUUAUAUUACAGAUUGUAGUGUUGUGUCAUGCUUCAAAAAGAAAUUAAUAAAA
RNAcentral lists this long non-coding RNA (825 nucleotides) under Mytilus galloprovincialis (Mediterranean mussel). The record is from RNAcentral. Lineage: Eukaryota; Metazoa; Mollusca; Bivalvia; Mytilida; Mytilidae.